RNAcentral lists this ribosomal RNA (426 nucleotides) under uncultured prokaryote. RNAcentral's name for it is "bacterial SSU rRNA". It matches the Rfam family "Bacterial small subunit ribosomal RNA", at positions 355 to 796 of the family's 1533-position model. The record is from RNAcentral.
UGGGGAAUUUUCCGCAAUGGGCGAAAGCCUGACGGAGCAAUACCGCGUGAGGGAGGAAGGCUUUUGGGUUGUAAACCUCUUUUCUCAAGGAAGAAGUUCUGACGGUACUUGAGGAAUCAGCAUCGGCUAACUCCGUGCCAGCAGCCGCGGUAAUACGGAGGAUGCAAGCGUUAUCCGGAAUUAUUGGGCGUAAAGCGUUCGUAGGUAGCCAUUCAAGUCUGCUGUCAAAGACCCGGGCUUAACUCGGGAAAGGCAGUGGAAACUGAAUAGCUAGAGUGCGGUAGGGGUAGAGGGAAUUCCCGGUGUAGCGGUGAAAUGCGUAGAUAUCGGGAAGAACACCGGCGGCGAAAGCGCUCUACUGGGCCGCAACUGACACUGAGGGACGAAAGCUAGGGGAGCGAAUGGGAUUAGAUACCCCUGUAGUCC